Non-coding RNA from Lactuca sativa (garden lettuce), 758 nucleotides. Lineage: Eukaryota; Viridiplantae; Streptophyta; Magnoliopsida; Asterales; Asteraceae. The record is from RefSeq and is a predicted model, not a curated record.
UUGAAAGUAAUUUUGAAGAAAUGUAAAGUAAAGAACAUUUUUUCCAUUUUCGGGAAUUUGUGCAUGUAUGUGCAUGUGAGUACGUAUUUGAAGGAAGGGUUUUCACCCAUCCCUUUUUUCUUGUCGUUCAUAGCAGCCAAAAAAGAGUGAAACCCUAAAUCGUUUCCCCAUUUUUUCCUUUGUUUGGCGCCGUUCUAGCCCACGCCACCGCCUCCUCGCAAGAAAACCACUGCUGCCAUCACCUUGCUCCUGAUGUCACCAAAAAACUGAAAUGUAAUGGAGAAGAAUUCGACCUAGGGAUGUUGGGAUCGAAUCCAUCAUUUAAGGAAAGAUGUUAUACUACCUUGAUGUGAUGUUGUGUUGGAAUUCUCUAAGCUUCUUGCUUACCCUUUCACUUCUAAACAACUGUUUCAGGAGUUGCAGGAAGUAUUGCGUGCUAUAUGAAGUUGAAAGAAAUAUGUUGAUUGAAAUGUGAAAAGAGAUUCAAGAGGACCAUGAAAAAAUCAGGUUGAAAAUUAGAAGUUAUGUGAAUAAAUAUUAACAACCAACGAUAAAGCUUUGAAGCCAUGAUGCGGAAGUUUACCGAACAACAACCUAGAAGGUCAAUAAUUGCUAAUAUGAUUUAUCAUCUAUGUUUAGUAAACGUCUAUGAUGUUUUUAUUACUUUUUUUUGUGAUUAUAGUUGAUAAAUUUGUGUUUACUUUCAUUUAUGGUUGUUAUUUUGAAUUUAGACAUGUCAAAGGAGACCAUAAAAUUAU